ACCUUACUUUAAUGUUGCAGUGGAUAAAGGUGGAGCUCAUUUUAAUUACUUAAUAUACUGCUGGGUAGCUUGUGAUUAAGAACAUUGUAAAUU
Etheostoma spectabile (orangethroat darter) is the source of this 93-nucleotide long non-coding RNA. RefSeq lists it as uncharacterized. Lineage: Eukaryota; Metazoa; Chordata; Actinopteri; Perciformes; Percidae. The record is from RefSeq and is a predicted model, not a curated record. The transcript has 3 exons.